Non-coding RNA from Hydra vulgaris (swiftwater hydra), 614 nucleotides. The record is from RefSeq and is a predicted model, not a curated record. Lineage: Eukaryota; Metazoa; Cnidaria; Hydrozoa; Anthoathecata; Hydridae.
UUGGCUUGAUUUAUAUAAGCUUUUGUGUAUUGCUAACAUACCUUUUUAUGGAGUAUUUUGCUGAGAAUUUUGCAUGGAAAUUUGGCUGAUGUUGUAACAUAGAUUUGUAGUUGAAGAAAUGUAGAAUCUGCUUUUUUUAUUAUUAAAAUAGUUUUUUUCAUGCAUUUUCUAUGAACAUGCCAAAUUUCAUCAAAAAAUAAGGAUAAGCAAUUAGUCUAAUUAGUGUUGGACUUUAGGUACCUAAUUUCGAUUUUUUUGUUGUUGUUUUUUUUGGUAAGCAAAAUCCGGUAGGCGCCGAAAUCCGAAUAAGGGGGCGUUUCAAAUAAAAAUCUUAUUUUGAAUUAUUGUGAUAUAUAUUAUUAGAUUUAAAAAAAUAUGGCAACAUAUAGCAAGAGUGUGUUAGAUGCCCUAACAGAAAUCGAAUCUACACAGCCCAUCACUGUUCCUUCUACAUCUGCUAUAAGGGGUAUGUUAACUAAUUUUUACUUUUCAAAAUGUUUAUACAUAUCUUGGCAAUUUCAGUAAUUAUUUUUAAUUACAACUUUGAUAAUAUUUAGUUACAUCUUUAGCACCUACUAAAACUAGUAAGUUUAUAAACUAUUAUUUGCAAAUGU